Long non-coding RNA from Aegilops tauschii subsp. strangulata, 707 nucleotides. RefSeq lists it as uncharacterized. NCBI's taxonomy places the organism in Eukaryota, Viridiplantae, Streptophyta, Magnoliopsida, Poales, Poaceae. The record is from RefSeq and is a predicted model, not a curated record.
UUUUCUAGGGUAACACCUUGUACACGCACUAAGCUAACGAGAUGUAUUAUUUCUUUCCACAUGUGUGUGAAUCAUCCACCACUCACUGGGAUGCCAUCCAAUGGUAGUCCCUAGGGAUUCCCUUUCAUUUCAAGGGUUGAAUAAUCAACACUACAAAAUCUGAAGGAUAUGGCCGCAUUUACUACUCACCAAAUAUAGAGCAUUUUAUUUCUUGUAAUUAAUAUGGAUAAGCACAGAUCGGCACAAUUAAUUGUUACCUAAACAUAGAUCAGAUUGGUCGUAUAUAUAUGUGUGUAUGUGAGAGAGAAACAUAUAGCAAUUAGCAAGUACUCCGUAGAAGAUACUACUCAUAUCUGAAAGCAUAUAUUGCCAUGGAGAGAAGCAAGAUCAUUAUGCUCGUGAUGAUCAUCCUUCCGUGUCUCGUAACAUUUUCUCAGGCUCAAAAACCUGAUGAUAGCAGCAAGAUCCAAAUUUGCAUGUGCCAAAAGAAUCCUCCACCAUGCCCAAAUGAUUUGUGCUUCUGUUGUGCAUUGGAGCAAGAUAAAUGCUUUAGAACCAGCCAAGAAUGCAUUUGUGGCCCUGAUUGCCCUCCUUUAGAAGCAACCUCCACUCAUCCCCUCCCUUUGCCUUAAGACAUCAUGUCAGAUUGUUGCAAUGACAAGUAUUGUCAUGAAUAUCUUGGAAUAAAAAAAGUUGUAUUCGCUGCA